Sceloporus undulatus (fence lizard) is the source of this 1735-nucleotide long non-coding RNA. RefSeq lists it as uncharacterized. The record is from RefSeq and is a predicted model, not a curated record. The transcript is spliced from 3 exons. NCBI's taxonomy places the organism in Eukaryota, Metazoa, Chordata, Lepidosauria, Squamata, Phrynosomatidae.
CACACACAGGAUAGUGAUGAGAUUACCAAUGUGUGUGCAUAUGUGAGGAGGGGGCAGGGGAUAGUCUAAGCUGCUUGCAAUAUAUCAGCUAACCAAGUAAAAGCUUGCAACAUAUCAGCUAACGUUUUAUGUUUAAGGAUGUUCCUGUCUGCCUCUCUGAGCCAGCAGACUGCAGAACAGAGUGAGGCUGUUGAUGAAGCAGCAAGACAAAUCCCCCGCAACUCCCCGCGCAUGAUUUUCCAGGCUGUUGGAUUCCACGUCUUUCUGUGCUCUUUCCUCUCAGGCUGCAUCCCUAUCCAAAACCAACCAGUGCAGAGUGUUUAAGCCUGGGAGGAUGUCUGAUGCAAAACCAAGGAGGAGGAGGAGGAGGAGGAGGAAGAAGAAGAGAACAAAACUCACAGGACAAAGGGUUGAGUAGGACCAGGCCUUAGCCCAGUACUAAAACAUCUGGGAAAGAUUUGUAGACUGAGCAGUUGUUGUUGCAAACAAUGGUAAAAACAGUCAGAGCUCAACUCAAAGGAUGUUUGCCAAGAAGGAUUCACCAGAAAAUCUGCCAGCAGCAUUGCACUUGUCGACAGCAAAUAGGUUUGCCUUUUUUGCCCUUUAAUGUUUGCCAUCUGUCUUAACAGGAUACCGUCUGCUCCACAGGAAACCUCCACAAUUCAUUUCUUCCUCAUCUAAAAUCCAAGGCUGUUAGAUCGGAGAAGCAGGAGAUGAGAGAAAUCGAGCAUCAGGGAAUCUCUAGGUCCUCCAGUCAACAUCUGCUAGAAGUUGGCCAUCGAAUCACGCUGGAGGACACUCUGUCAUGAAGUCCAACAUUUUCUGCUUGAAGGAUCAACCUCUAUCGCCUAGUGCAAUGAUAAAACAUGGAAUGGUUAAAAGAGGAAGACAACAGUAUAUGGACCUCUCUAUUAAAUUGCAUCAAUGAGAUUCUCUCUCUCUCUCUCUCUCUUCACGUGAGAUCUAUGUGGACAACCUGCGAAGCACAGUAAUGAAAUGGAGUGGGGGAAUGUCACAACAACAACAAUAUCCCAAUGGCACUACAGGUUGACAGGACCAGAGAACAUGUGGACUAAUCCUAAAAUGAAAUUCUGUCACAUUUUUAAAAUAGUAAUUUCUGAAAGUCACCUUUUAAAAAUCUGGGACUAAAACCUUACUGACUUAAGCAAUUCGCUAUUUCGCAUGCUUCCAAACCUCUAAACUGUCUAAAUCCAGCAGCAUCCUUUUUGUUUUUUACUGAAGUGAAAAAGAAAUAAUAGCAUUUAUGUCAAGAGAACCUAUGAUAUUCUGCUUAUCACCUAUCCCCAAUUUUGUUCAAACUCUGCUUUAGACUCCCUGACAGCACAUAGCUAUGUUUAAAGUGUCAAUUUAACCAGUUAGGAAGGGAGAUUUGUGUAUCAGCCACAGCUAUAAAAGCCAGCCUUAUGGAAGUUGUGGGAUGCCUACUACUAUAAGGUUGCAAUUAAUCAAUCCAGGGCAGGAAAAGAAAGCUGUUUUAAAAACCACUGUGGUUGGAAUUGCAUUUAAUUUGUCUGGAUUUUUUCUUUCUUGCUCUCCCUUCAUUCCCAGGUGUAAAGGAAUGGAAAAACAAGGGGGAAAUGGUAAUUAUAUGAAAUGAAAUUUAUUAUUACAGUUGAUGACCAGCGUAAAAAAAUAUAAAACAGUACAAUGUUAUACAAUGCCCAAUAGAAAAAACAAUGCAAACGAUACAAUACAAAUGCAAUAGAAAUACAGC